RNAcentral lists this transfer RNA (76 nucleotides) under Opitutaceae bacterium. RNAcentral's name for it is "tRNA-Ala". It matches the Rfam family "tRNA". Rfam says of the family: Transfer RNA (tRNA) molecules are approximately 80 nucleotides in length. Their secondary structure includes four short double-helical elements and three loops (D, anti-codon, and T loops). Lineage: Bacteria; Pseudomonadati; Verrucomicrobiota; Opitutia; Opitutales; Opitutaceae. The record is from RNAcentral.
GGGGUCGUAGCUCAGUUGGUAGAGCGCCUGCUUUGCAAGCAGGAUGUCGCCGGUUCGAAUCCGGCCGGCUCCACCA